CUUUAAUACAACCCAGUACCUUACAGCCAACUCAUCACAGUCAUAUAGUCAUUGAAAGGUAUAGCUAUGGUAGGUAGGUAGGUAGGUAGGUAGGUAGGUAGGUAGGUAGAGAGGUAUAGCUAUGGUAGGUAGGUAGGUAGAGAGAGAGAGAGGUAUAGCUAUGGUAGGUAGAGAGAGAGGUAUAGCUAUGGUAGGUAGGUAGAGAGAGGUGUAGCUAUGGUAGGUAGGUAGAGAGAGGUGUAGCUAUGGUAGGUAGGUAGAGAGAGAGAGAGAGGUAUAGCUAUGGAGAGAGAGAGAGAGAGGUAUAGCUAUGGUAGGUAGAGAGAGAGAGAGGUAUAGCUAUGGUAGGUAGAGAGAGAGAGGUAUAGCUAUGGUAGAUAGAGAGAGAGAGGUAUAGCUAUGGUAGGUAGAGAGAGGUAUAGCUAUGGUAGGUAGGUAGAGAGAGGUAUAGCUAUGGUAGGUAUAGAGAGUUGUAGCUGGAGCUAAACUGCAACAUCCUGCUAAUUGACCCAUAAAGGAUCUACAAUAGAAGAAGUGAUGUUAUUGGAGCCAGAAGCAGACAGUCAGCACAGCCAGUCGGCUACAGAUCGGGACAUGCACAGCCAUUUAAUAGUUACAUUUGGUGCAUUAUAACCGUGUUCAAGUGUUAAGGUGAACCCCCCCCAUCCCCCUCACUUUGAACACAACUUCCCCUGUACUGCUGUUUGGAAGCAGGCGGAGACUCAGGGAGCAUUGAGUACACCAGGGCCUGGGUUUUGAAAACCUUAAGAAAUGUUUUGUAAAUCCAGGCACUGCAACUUUGGUAUUAGGUAAGAGAAUGGCACAAGGCUGGCUUGAGCAACGAAAGGAAACGAUGUGCAACAACUAGACAGAGACAUGUCCUGAGAAACAGUGUGUGGGCCAUCCUGCCGACUUCAACACGCAUUGUUAGCUUAGCAGACCUGGGACCAGGCAACCAGAGGCAGACCUGGGACCAGGCAACCAGAGGCAGACCUGGGACCAGGCAACCAGAGGCAGACCUGGGACCAGGCAACCAGAGGCAGACCUGGGACCAGGCAACCAGAGGCAGACCUGGGAC
Oncorhynchus tshawytscha (Chinook salmon) is the source of this 1078-nucleotide long non-coding RNA. NCBI's taxonomy places the organism in Eukaryota, Metazoa, Chordata, Actinopteri, Salmoniformes, Salmonidae. The record is from Ensembl.